This 543-nucleotide ribosomal RNA is filed under the name Streptococcus intermedius. RNAcentral describes it as "bacterial SSU rRNA". It matches the Rfam family "Bacterial small subunit ribosomal RNA", at positions 1 to 522 of the family's 1533-position model. The record is from RNAcentral. Lineage: Bacteria; Bacillati; Bacillota; Bacilli; Lactobacillales; Streptococcaceae.
UGGAGAGUUUGAUCCUGGCUCAGGACGAACGCUGGCGGCGUGCCUAAUACAUGCAAGUAGAACGCACAGGAUGCACCGUAGUUUACUACACCGUAUUCUGUGAGUUGCGAACGGGUGAGUAACGCGUAGGUAACCUGCCUGGUAGCGGGGGAUAACUAUUGGAAACGAUAGCUAAUACCGCAUAAGAACAUUUACUGCAUGGUAGAUGUUUAAAAGGUGCAAAUGCAUCACUACCAGAUGGACCUGCGUUGUAUUAGCUAGUAGGUGAGGUAACGGCUCACCUAGGCGACGAUACAUAGCCGACCUGAGAGGGUGAUCGGCCACACUGGGACUGAGACACGGCCCAGACUCCUACGGGAGGCAGCAGUAGGGAAUCUUCGGCAAUGGGGGGAACCCUGACCGAGCAACGCCGCGUGAGUGAAGAAGGUUUUCGGAUCGUAAAGCUCUGUUGUUAAGGAAGAACGAGUGUGAGAAUGGAAAGUUCAUACUGUGACGGUACUUAACCAGAAAGGGACGGCUAACUACGUGCCAGCAGCCGCGGUA